This 162-nucleotide ribosomal RNA is filed under the name Saussurea stella. RNAcentral describes it as "5.8S ribosomal RNA". It matches the Rfam family "5.8S ribosomal RNA". From Rfam's summary of the family: 5.8S ribosomal RNA (5.8S rRNA) is a component of the large subunit of the eukaryotic ribosome. Lineage: Eukaryota; Viridiplantae; Streptophyta; Magnoliopsida; Asterales; Asteraceae. The record is from RNAcentral.
ACGACUCUCGGCAACGGAUAUCUCGGCUCACGCAUCGAUGAAGAACGUAGCAAAAUGCGAUACUUGGUGUGAAUUGCAGAAUCCCGUGAACCAUCGAGUUUUUGAACGCAAGUUGCGCCCGAAGCCAUUCGGUCGAGGGCACGUCUGCCUGGGCGUCACGCA